CAGGGAGACAACAAAAUGUUUAAUAUUAUUAUUUUGUCACCUUAGGUCGAUCGGUAUCUCACGUUCUUAAUUUAUUAAGGAUUUCAUUUCCUAAGUUUUUCUAGGUCACACCCAUUAUUUUUCCUGGGCCAUUAGCUCAGGUGGUUAGAGCGCACCCCUGAUAAGGGUGAGGUCCCUGGUUCAAGUCCAGGAUGGCCCAUAUCUCUAUGUUGGGGGUAUAGCUCAGUUGGUAGAGCGCCUGCUUUGCAAGCAGGAUGUCAGCGGUUCGAGUCCGCUUACCUCCACUGAUUACCACCUCUACCAUAAUCUGUAGAAAGGAAAUGUUUUGAGUAGUGAUCAAAUUCUGAACGAAUCUAGCUUCCUAAUUAAAUCAUUAAGAUGCUGGACUCAUUGAAUUAAUUUCAUUGUUUUCAGAGAACCUUGACAACUGCAUAGAUUAUUUUUAAAGACAAUAAGCAUCUUUAUUGAUGCAGAUUUAUUAUUUGUGCGAAUGCAUUAAUAACAAUUCUAUUAAGCUGAUGCUUCAAUUUUGAAGUUAUU
This 540-nucleotide transfer RNA is filed under the name uncultured Prochlorococcus sp. RNAcentral's name for it is "partial 16S-23S ribosomal RNA intergenic spacer". The stretch from base 212 to 284 matches the Rfam family "tRNA". Lineage: Bacteria; Bacillati; Cyanobacteriota; Cyanophyceae; Synechococcales; Prochlorococcaceae. The record is from RNAcentral.